This 314-nucleotide ribosomal RNA is filed under the name uncultured eukaryote. RNAcentral describes it as "partial 18S ribosomal RNA". It matches the Rfam family "Eukaryotic small subunit ribosomal RNA", at positions 1470 to 1796 of the family's 1831-position model. The record is from RNAcentral.
CCCUUAGAUGUUCUGGGCCGCACGCGCGCUACACUGAUGCAUGCAACGAGUUCUACCCUGAGCCGGAAGGCUUGGGUAAUCUGUGAACGUGCAUCGUGAUAGGGAUAGAUUAUUGCAAUUAUUAAUCUUGAACGAGGAAUUCCUAGUAAACGCAAGUCAUCAACUUGCAUUGAUUACGUCCCUGCCCUUUGUACACACCGCCCGUCGCACCUACCGAUUGAAUGGUCCGGUGAAGCCUCCGGAUUGGCGCGCACCUCGGUGCCGCCGAGAAGUUGGCUAAACCUUACCAUUUAGAGGAAGGUGAAGUCGUAACA